This 390-nucleotide ribosomal RNA is filed under the name uncultured Alphaproteobacteria bacterium. Its description in RNAcentral is "bacterial SSU rRNA". It matches the Rfam family "Bacterial small subunit ribosomal RNA", at positions 9 to 426 of the family's 1533-position model. The record is from RNAcentral. Lineage: Bacteria; Pseudomonadati; Pseudomonadota; Alphaproteobacteria.
GAGUUUGAUCCUGGCUCAGAACGAACGCUGGCGGCAGGCCUAACACAUGCAAGUCGAACGCGUGUAGCAAUACACGAGUGGCGCACGGGUGAGUAACACGUGGGAAUCAACCCAGAGGUUCGGAAUAACCGCGGGAAACUGCGGCUAAUACCGGAUAUCCCCUACGGGGGAAAGAUUUAUCGCCUUUGGACGAGCCCGCGUCCGAUUAGCUAGUUGGUGAGGUAACGGCUCACCAAGGCUACGAUCGGUAGCUGGUCUGAGAGGAUGAUCCGCCACACUGGGACUGAGACACGGCCCAGACUCCUACGGGAGGCAGCAGUGGGGAAUUUUGGACAAUGGACGAAAGUCUGAUCCAGCCAUGCCGCGUGAGUGAAGAAGGCCUUCGGUUGU